RNAcentral lists this transfer RNA (72 nucleotides) under Araneus ventricosus. It matches the Rfam family "tRNA". From Rfam's summary of the family: Transfer RNA (tRNA) molecules are approximately 80 nucleotides in length. Their secondary structure includes four short double-helical elements and three loops (D, anti-codon, and T loops). Further hydrogen bonds mediate the characteristic L-shaped molecular structure. tRNAs have two regions of fundamental functional importance: the anti-codon, which is responsible for specific mRNA codon recognition, and the 3' end, to which the tRNAs corresponding amino acid is attached (by aminoacyl-tRNA synthetases). tRNAs cope with the degeneracy of the genetic code in two manners: having more than one tRNA (with a specific anti-codon) for a particular amino acid; and 'wobble' base-pairing, i.e. permitting non-standard base-pairing at the 3rd anti-codon position. The record is from Rfam by way of RNAcentral. Lineage: Eukaryota; Metazoa; Arthropoda; Arachnida; Araneae; Araneidae.
GACUCGGUGGCGCAUCGGUAGCGCGUCUGACUCCAGAUCCGAAGGCUGCGCGUUCAAAUCACGUCCGGGUCA